RNAcentral lists this ribosomal RNA (305 nucleotides) under uncultured bacterium. RNAcentral describes it as "bacterial SSU rRNA". It matches the Rfam family "Bacterial small subunit ribosomal RNA", at positions 335 to 637 of the family's 1533-position model. The record is from RNAcentral.
GUUCCUACGGGGCGCAGCAGUGAGGGAUAUUGGUCAAUGGGCGGAAGCCUGAACCAGCCAAGUCGCGUGAGGGAAUAAGGCCCUACGGGUCGUAAACCUCUUUUGCCGGGGAGCAAGGGCGGGGACGUGUCCCGGCCCGGAGAGUACCCGGAGAAAAAGCAUCGGCUAACUCCGUGCCAGCAGCCGCGGUAAUACGGAGGAUGCGAGCGUUAUCCGGAUUUAUUGGGUUUAAAGGGUGCGUAGGCGGGCUUUUAAUUCAGCGGUCAAAAUUCGGGGCUCAACCCCGUCCGGCCUUUGCAACUGUG